CACUUUCAAUGUAAAGGCAUUUCUGUUCAUCUGCAACUCCAGUAGAGUUUUGGGCAUGUGGCAAUUAUGGAGGAUGAAGAAUGGAAACUCAGUGAGGAAAGCAUUAGGAGAAAAUGCAGAAAACCUCUGAGAAAUACAAAGUGUCCAAGGGCUGUGGAAUUGAAAAGCUAAAAUAUAUUAGUAUUGGAAAAGAGGUGGCACUUGAAAAGUCACCUGGAGUGAAUGCUGAUAAAUCUCUUGAAUCAAAUGGGCUACAUCCCUGUGUUUCAAAGGAAGGUAACAAGUAGAGGAGAAAAUUGGAUGCAUCCCAGAGCAGCUUCAUUAGUUUUAAUGGGAGCUGCCAUUUUCUAUCAGCACUGGGAUGACGCUGGGCUGCCUGUGACUGUCUGAUCCGGGGAGAAAUCACAUUACUGACUACCAUUGUCUAGAUUGAAUACCUGCCAUAAUAUUGCAGAUGUGUGAUU
Stegostoma tigrinum is the source of this 464-nucleotide long non-coding RNA. RefSeq lists it as uncharacterized. The record is from RefSeq and is a predicted model, not a curated record. The transcript is spliced from 3 exons. Lineage: Eukaryota; Metazoa; Chordata; Chondrichthyes; Orectolobiformes; Stegostomatidae.